This 1494-nucleotide long non-coding RNA is filed under the name Mastacembelus armatus (zig-zag eel). RNAcentral's name for it is "lncRNA (ENSMAMG00000027982.1)". The record is from RNAcentral. Lineage: Eukaryota; Metazoa; Chordata; Actinopteri; Synbranchiformes; Mastacembelidae.
CUCAGCAUCACAGAAUUAUUAAUGCAUGGUCCGGUCUCCAUGGAGAUCGUAUCCCCAAAAUAAAGAACCCCUCCGUCACAGGGCACCCGAAGUCUCAAUUGGUGACAGAGAAGUCACCCCCACAGGAGUCACUCAUCUCCCAAGUGCCAUUAAGAGUAACUGCAUGUUGUCUUUCUUGGAUUAUAUCUGUGGGGUUGCAUUAGAUGCAGCUAGACUGUUUAUUGAUUAUAACAAAUCACUGCCAAUCUAAUUUUUGUAUAUUAGCGUUACAGUUGGUGCCAACACUCAGGCCUCAGUCGUGUUUAGAUUCUGGCCUUUUAUUUAUAAUGAAACAAUUUUCUCUUAGUUACAGAUCAAAGUAUCUGGCCAGAGGGGUAGUUUGGGAAUCAGCAUUGCUGGUGGGAAGGGCUCUCUGCCUUACAAAGACCAUGAUGAGGGCAUUUUUAUUUCCAGAGUAACAAAAGGUGGGGCAUCAGAAAAGGCAGGAAUCCAUGUUGGAGAUAGAUUACUGGAGGUCAACGGUCUCAACAUGCAGGGGGCGACUCACCACGAGGCUGUCAGCGCCCUAAGGAAUGCUGGGAGCUGCAUCAAGAUGAAAAUACUCAGAGAGAAGCUACUAGCACAAGAGAUGCGUGACCUGGACGAGCCCCUGGGUGCUCGGGGUGUGAUGGCACGACAGCUGCGCAGCCAGGACGGCAGAGGCCACAGACACCAACAGCCAAAAAUGGAGAGCACAGAAGACUGUUUGCCCAAGAAGAUUGAGGCAGUGUUCUGCAAUGGCAAUGGGAUUUCUGAUUUGCAGAGUGAACUGAAAAGGAACUUUUCUGAACUCAGGGCAGAGGUGUUAGCAAAAAAUGAUUCACUUCAAGUUUCCAAGCAUACAAUGACAAUCCCACGGAUCAUCCUCACUCAUCCAUCUACCUCAGAUGAAGAUGUGGAGCUCUUGACACAGAGCUCCAACAGAGAUCAGCUGCAUGACUUUGAGGGUCAUGACAGACGUGUACACGCUGACUGUUUCGACAGUGCUUUCUACCCACCCUGACCAUAGCGUAGGUGUACAUACAUGAAGGACACAGACUGUUGUUACCCAGCUUGUGUUUUGCUACUGAUGCAUUUUCAUGUGACUGUGGAUAAUUAGUACAAAACAUAAUGUUGCAAUAUGAUUUUUACUGUCGUUGCAAAGCUUUUUUGCCUCUUAGAUUCAGAUUCUGUUAAUAGUAUUUGGUAAUUUUGAUGUCAAUUGCAAGAAUGGACAAUAGUUUUAUUUUCAUUACUAAAGCACUGACUUUUAGCUGCACUACUACACCAAAGUAAGCCUGGAAAAUAUGAACAGAGUGAUCUCUGAAAUAUUAAAUGAAAAACAAGUCCCAAUGUUAAAUACAGUCAAUGAAGCCAUGAAUACAGUCGGCUACCUCCACUUCACAUCACUGAGCUGUUAGUAGUGCUGGUAAACAGGCGAGGGUCUCUGCCCAUGACGAUGUGAAGCCUUCAAAC